GACGAACGCUGGCGGCGUGCUUAACACAUGCAAGUCGAACGAAGUGGCGAACGGGUGAGUAACGCGUAAUCAACCUGCCCUUCAGAGGGAGAGGACAGGUGUAAGCGACUGCUAAUACCACAUACUGAAGGCGUGUAUUGUGUCUGAUUAGUUAGUUGGCGGGGUAACGGCCCACCAAGGCGAUGAUCAGUCGGCGGUCUGAGAGGAUGAACGGCCACAUUGGGACUGAGACACGGCCUAGACGCGUACGGGAGGCAGCAGUGGGGAAUUGGCCGCAAGGGACGAAAGUCUGAAGGGGCAACGCAGGGUGAGUGAUGACGGCCGUCGGGUUGUAAAGCUUGGUAAAUCGGGACGCGGUACCGGAAUAGAAAGCCACGGCUAACUACGUGCCAGCAGCCGCGGUAAUUC
This 408-nucleotide ribosomal RNA is filed under the name uncultured bacterium. RNAcentral's name for it is "partial 16S ribosomal RNA". It matches the Rfam family "Bacterial small subunit ribosomal RNA", at positions 28 to 526 of the family's 1533-position model. The record is from RNAcentral.